Molecule: ribosomal RNA, 151 nt
Filed under: Escherichia coli
Lineage: Bacteria; Pseudomonadati; Pseudomonadota; Gammaproteobacteria; Enterobacterales; Enterobacteriaceae
Also listed under: 7 other names
Description: partial 16S ribosomal RNA
Rfam family: Bacterial small subunit ribosomal RNA
Source: RNAcentral
AAAUUGAAGAGUUUGAUCAUGGCUCAGAUUGAACGCUGGCGGCAGGCCUAACACAUGCAAGUCGAACGGUAACAGGAAGCAGCUUGCUGCUUCGCUGACGAGUGGCGGACGGGUGAGUAAUGUCUGGGAAACUGCCUGAUGGAGGGGGAUA